UACGUAGGGCGCAAGCGUUGUCCGGAAUUAUUGGGCGUAAAGAGCUCGUAGGCGGCUUGUCACGUCGGGUGUGAAAGACCGGGGCUUAACCCCGGUUCUGCAUUCGAUACGGGCUGGCUAGAGUGUGGUAGGGGAGAUCGGAAUUCCUGGUGUAGCGGUGAAAUGCGCAGAUAUCAGGAGGAACACCGGUGGCGAAGGCGGGACUCUGGGCCGAUACUGACGCUGAGGAGCGAAAGCGUGGGGAGCAAACAGG
Molecule: ribosomal RNA, 253 nt
Filed under: uncultured bacterium
Lineage: Bacteria
Description: partial 16S ribosomal RNA
Rfam family: Bacterial small subunit ribosomal RNA
Source: RNAcentral